Molecule: ribosomal RNA, 530 nt
Filed under: uncultured archaeon
Lineage: Archaea
Description: bacterial SSU rRNA
Rfam family: Archaeal small subunit ribosomal RNA
Source: RNAcentral
CUACGGGGCGCAGCAGGCGCGAAAACUUCGCAAUGCGCGAAAGCGCGACGAGGGGAUUCCAAGUGCAUGCACUUAGUGCAUGCUGUUUGCUAGUCCAAAUAGCUAGUAGAGUAAGGGCUGGGUAAGACUGGUGCCAGCCGCCGCGGUAAUACCAGCGGCCCGAGUGGUGAUCGUUAUUAUUGGGUCUAAAGCGUCCGUAGCCGGCCCGGUAAAUCUCUGGGUAAAUCGUUGGGCUCAACCCAGCGAAUUCUAGGGAGACUGCCGGGCUUGGGACCGGGAGAGGUCGGAGGUACUCCGAGGGUAGGGGUGAAAUCCUGUAAUCCUUGGGGACCACCGGUGGCGAAGGCGUCCGACCAGAACGGGUCCGACGGUAAGGGACGAAGCCCUGGGGCGCGAACCGGAUUAGAUACCCGGGUAGUCCAGGGUGUAAACGCUGUGCGCUUGGUGUUGGGGGUCCUUUGAGGGCAUCCAGUGCCGGAGAGAAGUUGUUAAGCGCACCACCUGGGGAGUACGGUCGCAAGACUGAAACU